GGUAGGUGUCUGUUAAGGAAAAGCCGGGAGAGCCUUCCCUGUGCCUGCUGCUCCGGUCCCGGGGGAGGAGCGCUCCCAAGUGGCUUGUUCAGGGCGGUCUGUUUGCUGACAGCAUACAGUGCAAACAAAGGGCUCCGGUGGGGACGUCAGAGGAGCAGCUGCUCGGUGUCUAGGAGAGCUUGAGUGUGGUUUGCAAAGCAAACUGACUCUAAUUUGGACAAAUACUGUGGUGGCCUGGGACCUCUGAAAGAUAAAGCAGCAAGGAAGUGUUGACCCGGACGUUUCCAGGGGCCAAAGUGCAGAAACAGAGGAGCGGUCCAGGAAUGUAAGGGUUGCUCUCUCCUUGACCAUCGGUCUACCCAUAUCAAGGACACUCUUUGCUGGGACCCAAGAGGAAGUCAACCUGCAGCCAUUUGACAUCUUUGGUAUUUAAGGGGAGAGCCUCGCAGAAGGAAAGAUGGAGGUGAAGGAUCGGAGAGGAUGUUGCACAAUUGAAGAGUUACUUUGUGUCGGAACAACACAUUUUAUUUAUAUAUGUAUUUAUUAGAGACAGAGUCUCAUUAUGUUGCCCAGACUGGUCUCAAACUCCUGGACUCAAGCAAUCUUCCCGCAUCAGCCUCCCAAAGUGUUGGGAUUACAGGCAUGAGCCACCGAGCCCAGCCAGAAACAUCACAUUUGAAAACAAUGAAGAAUGGAGGAAACUGAUGUCUGUGUGUCACCAGGUUGUCAUCGUUUCUGUCACUAUGAAAGCUAAAGCAGAAAGAAGCUUAAUGGAGACCUGGAAGCCUCUCCGUAGAGACUCCGGGGCGGGAACACGGUCUGUGUGCAGGGCUCAGGGAGGACCCACGGCUCCUGUGGUUUACACGGCACCUGAGAAGGAUCAGUCAGGAAGAGCUACCUGGAGAGCCUGAGCCCGACCGGAUACUCCUUUCCCUGCCACUUUCCCUGGGAUCCAGCGGUUUAUAUUCCUGGCCUCAGGAAAUCUUGGAAGAGUUAUUUUGGCAGAAUGAAGCAAUGUACUAUUCCAGCCGUAGUCCAGACCUGGUGACGUGGAGCUUGGCGAUGAUCGACGACCCUGGCGUCAUACUCUAAAUUUGUUUCCAAAGUGGCAGCAGGGGAGGAGGUGGCGAAAUCAAUACUGAAGUUUGUCUUGAUUGGAUGGGGUGUGUGUUUUCUUUUCCGCCCUAGUUGUUGUUGAAGCUGUUUAUUGAAAGGCUGUGCAAAUAUGAUCAGUCAGCUCCAAGGCCAUUAAUAACCCGCCGGACAGAGCUGGCUCCAUUCCAAUUGAUUUUUGAAACUGUCCAUUUUUUUUGGAGCAGGGAUGAAAGCCCCAGAGGGGUCGGGAUGAAAGCCCCAGAAGGGUCGGGGUGAAAGCCCCAGAGGGGUCGGGGUGAAAGCCCCAGAAGGGUCGGGAUGAAAGCCCCAGAGGGGUCGGGGUGAAAGCCCCAGAGGGGUCGGGGUGAAAGCCCCAGAGGGGUCGGGGUGAAAGCCCCAGAGGGGUUGGGGUGAAAGCAUGAGAUCUCUGCCUCCACUGGGGCUGAUCCCACAGACUCAGGAGAUGAAACGUGGUUCCAGUGCCUUUGCUUUCCGUCUGAACGAGGCAGGGGUCCUGCGGCAGCUCUGAAGAGGCGGGGGCCGUCACAAACAAAUACUGCUGCAGGGCAAGGGGGCGCUGCGAUUGUCUGCACACUGAUGGGGACCCAGAGGAAAACGUGGCCCGAGGUUUGCCAGAAUGUGCUUAAGAAGCAAACCUCACAUACCUGAAACUCUCUCCCUACCAUCCUGUCCUUCCAAAAACUAAAUCAGCUUGAAUAUCCUGAGAAAUGUCACACAGGUCAGCUGUAGGAGCACCCAUGAGAGGUGGCUGAUGGUGAAACCACUGGGGCCAGAAAGCAUGAAUUGACAUCCCAGAACUCUGGGCUGUAACUUUGAGCAAAUUAAUCUCUUCGAUAUUCUAUUAUAGCAAUUAUAAAUUGAUGAUGUCAUGAUAACCCAUUUCUUAUUUCUCGAAAAGUACUUUUUCUGGAUCUCAUUCACUUAAGAACUCAAAUUCUAAACAUGGAGACUAUCAGAGCCAAGGUCCCUGUUAAAAGAAAUAUAUAUUUUAUAUAUUAAAGCUUAAAAGAAA
This is a long non-coding RNA of Aotus nancymaae (Ma's night monkey), 2128 nucleotides long. The record is from Ensembl. Lineage: Eukaryota; Metazoa; Chordata; Mammalia; Primates; Aotidae.